ACCACACGACCGAGGAGGGCGGCGUGUGCUCCAGCGAAUCCAGCCUGUUCCGAAGGGUGAGGGACAUGUUACACCUGUACGGUAAUGGCGUCGAGGACAAGAUCACGUCGUUGUUCAGCCGGAGGGGCAGCGGGCUUGCCCGGGGACAGUCCAAGGAGAACCUUCGGGUCGAGGUGCGAGCCGCGGCCGGGGAAAGCUGACGUGGUCAGGAUCAGGUGGACUGCAGCUCUCAUGUAAGGAUGCUACUCUAGCUUGCUUCAUAUUUUCCAUUGUACAAUUAGUGAUUACUGAAUUCUGUUGGUUAACACUUCCAUCCAUGCUUGUUCAGCUUCAUAAUUAGAAGUUUGCAUAGGUGCGCAAUUUUGCUGGCAAAAGUAGGAAGCAAUUCUAAUUAUUAUUUUUAUCCGGCAGCGGUAUCUUGAUGUGCAGAAAUUCCAGGAUUUUGGGACACCGAGUGCUCCCCCAAUUGCACGAGAUGGGGAGGUGGAUGGCAUUUUCGAUGCAAUUGGUGAGAGCAAUGACCACUUCUUAUUGCAAACAUUUUUUUUUGUAUUUCCGUUUGCUGGAAAAGAUAAUUAGACCAUUACUUGAUGUGCAAAUAGCUGACAUGAAUAGAGGCUUUGAGAAGACAGAGAUCUCAUCAGUGGCGGAUAUACUGGCUCAAGAUGUUCAUGAGCUUCCUACGAGGUGCAGUAGAUAAUAAUUUACAUUUUGGAGUAGUUCAAGCACAUGAUUGCUUUUUUCCGCGUAACAGAAAAAAUGCAAUUCAGAUCAAAUGUUCAGGCGGAUGGUGUUCAGAUGCCGUACAUCGUGAACAAUUUAUUAGCUCAGAUACCCAGCUUCACAACUAAGUGCGUUUUUCAUUUACUUGCUACCAAUCUCUAGAUGUUUCAUCUGUUUCCUGUUCUUAACAAUCGACCACUUUUUUACUUGACAGUGUCCAAACUGCAUGGCGAUCAUUUGUUGCAUAUGAGAGAACAUGGGCUCUCUCAGAGCUCAGGCGAUUCUGGUCGUCCGAUGCGUUUGCUUGAUGCGUUUUCGGGCGUUGGAUCGAGCGGUGGGCGGAGCUGGGCCGUCGGAUGGGACUCGUUCCCCUGGAGCAAUGAAUAGUUACCCCGCGGGAAAAGAUCUCGUGCCACCGCGUGUGAAUUCGGUGCCCCACCGAGGGCAUUUUCGUCUUUCAACAUACCCGAGGCCAUAUGGCUUCCUCUGAUUCGUGGUUUCAUCCCCAAUCCGGUGACAAGCUAGGGUUCCGUUUUGUCGUCUCUCCCACGCAUCUCUCGUGCAGCCGCCGCUCUCGCUCCUCUCCAUCACUCCGGCCCGAGCCGCCGCUGCUCCUCUGCGCCUCCCUCCUCCUCCAUGCGUGAUAGUACCGGCCGUUCCUUGUGCUAGCCCCACGCGGCCACGACGGGCGGCGGAGCCAUCAGGAACGGUGACGGUGGGCUGAUGCUCUGCAGGUCGCCAUGUGCGCGGAGGUGACGACAGGAGGGCGUCGGCCUUUUCCAACUCGAGGAGGAGGAGGAGGGUGGUAUGGAUCUCUCCUCCCCUGUCGUCAUCACGAGAGGAGAGGGAGAACGGCCGGCUAUGGCGGCGGUCAGAUCCACGCUGGGAACAGGAGACUGAUGCCAACGCCAUGGAGCUACUCUGCUGUUCGUCAAGGUCCGACCCCAGGGAGUGCCGACGCUCUUCCUCUUUCUCAUCUUCGAUUUCAUCUUCUUGCUCUUCUUCGAUUUGAUUUACGUACUUGCUCUUUCUCGUCUUCGAUUUGAUUUGAUUUACUUCUCUUCCUAUUACUCGCGCCGGCAGCCUCCCAAAGCAACUGAAGGUCGCUUGCUCCUCAUCAACAACAUACAAAGCUUGGGCUGACCUAGGACUACGGCUACGGCCGCUUCUCUGACCACACGACCGAGGAGGGCGGCGUGUGCUCCAGCGAAUCCAGCCUGUUCCGAAGGGUGAGGGACAUGUUACACCUCUACGGUAAUGGUGUCGAGGACAAGGUCACGUCGCUGUUCAGCCGGAGGGGCAGCGGGCUUGCCCGGGGACAGUCCAAGGAGAACCUUCGGGUCGAGGUGCGAGCCGCGGCCGGGGAAAGCUGACGUGGUCAGGAUCAGG
RNAcentral lists this long non-coding RNA (2112 nucleotides) under Triticum aestivum (bread wheat). RNAcentral describes it as "long non-coding RNA (TAES_LNC004271)". Lineage: Eukaryota; Viridiplantae; Streptophyta; Magnoliopsida; Poales; Poaceae. The record is from RNAcentral.